AUGGGAAGGGCUCUCGGGUCAGAGUUGUGUGUGCCCCGACACCAGCUGUGGGUGACGGCGUAUCACCCGGAACACUACUUCAUCUUCUUCAACCAGCCGGCACAUCAUGACAACGCCGUCAGGCAUGGCUCCAUUCGGGUCGACGACAUCGUCUUCAAGAUCGCAUUGUGGCACGAGCAAGACCACGUGGCUUUCGACAUAUUCAACUUCCACGUCAGGGUCGUCGUCGUGAAGGUGUCGAUGCAGUAUUGGUCUCUGGAAGAUGUGAAGGACAUCCUCGGGCGCAAGGUGCACGUGGACCGCCUUGAAAGCUAG
This 315-nucleotide ribosomal RNA is filed under the name Triticum aestivum (bread wheat). RNAcentral's name for it is "partial small subunit ribosomal RNA". Lineage: Eukaryota; Viridiplantae; Streptophyta; Magnoliopsida; Poales; Poaceae. The record is from RNAcentral.